AUGUACGCUGGCGGCGUGCUUAACCCAUGCAAGUCGAACGAAGCACUUUAUUUGAUUUCCUUCGGGACUGAUUAUUUUGUGACUGAGUGGCGGACGGGUGAGUAACGCGUGGGUAACCUGCCUUGUACAGGGGGAUAACAGUUGGAAACGGCUGCUAAUACCGCAUAAGCGCACAGCAUCGCAUGAUGCAGUGUGAAAAACUCCGGUGGUAUAAGAUGGACCCGCGUUGGAUUAGCUAGUUGGUGAGGUAACGGCCCACCAAGGCGACGAUCCAUAGCCGACCUGAGAGGGUGACCGGCCACAUUGGGACUGAGACACGGCCCAAACUCCUACGGGAGGCAGCAGUGGGGAAUAUUGCACAAUGGGCGAAAGCCUGAUGCAGCGACGCCGCGUGAGCGAAGAAGUACUUCGGUAUGUAAAGCUCUAUCAGCAGGGAAGAUAAUGACGGUACCUGACGAAGAAGCACCGGCUAAAUACGUG
Molecule: ribosomal RNA, 480 nt
Filed under: uncultured bacterium
Lineage: Bacteria
Description: partial 16S ribosomal RNA
Rfam family: Bacterial small subunit ribosomal RNA
Source: RNAcentral